UCGGCGACCGGCGCACGGGUGCGUAACGCGUAUGCAACCUACCCAUAACAGGGGGAUAACACUGAGAAAUUGGUACUAAUACCCCAUAACAUCAGGACCGGCAUCGGUUCUGGUUGAAAACUCCGGUGGUUAUGGAUGGGCAUGCGUUGUAUUAGCUGGUUGGUGAGGUAACGGCUCACCAAGGCAACGAUACAUAGGGGGACUGAGAGGUUAACCCCCCACAUUGGUACUGAGACACGGACCAA
Molecule: ribosomal RNA, 245 nt
Filed under: uncultured bacterium
Lineage: Bacteria
Description: partial 16S ribosomal RNA
Rfam family: Bacterial small subunit ribosomal RNA
Source: RNAcentral